GACGAACGCUGGCGGCGUGCUUAACACAUGCAAGUCGAACGGAAAGGCCCUGCUUUUGUGGGGUGCUCGAGUGGCGAACGGGUGAGUAACACGUGAGUAACCUGCCCUUGACUUUGGGAUAACUUCAGGAAACUGGGGCUAAUACCGGAUAGGAGCUCCUGCUGCAUGGUGGGGGUUGGAAAGUUUCGGCGGUUGGGGAUGGACUCGCGGCUUAUCAGCUUGUUGGUGGGGUAGUGGCUUACCAAGGCUUUGACGGGUAGGCGGCCUGGGAGGGUGACCGGCCGCAUUGGGACUGAGGGACGGCGCAGAGUCGUACGGGGGGCAGCGGUGGGGAGUAUUGCACAGUGGGCGGGAGCGUAGUACAGCAACGCCGCGUGCGGGAUGACGGCCUUCGGGUUGUAAACCGCUUUCGCCUGUGACGAAGCGUGAGUGACGGUAAUGGGUAAAGAAGCACCGGCUAACUACGUG
Molecule: ribosomal RNA, 468 nt
Filed under: uncultured bacterium
Lineage: Bacteria
Description: partial 16S ribosomal RNA
Rfam family: Bacterial small subunit ribosomal RNA
Source: RNAcentral